RNAcentral lists this ribosomal RNA (460 nucleotides) under uncultured bacterium. RNAcentral describes it as "partial 16S ribosomal RNA". It matches the Rfam family "Bacterial small subunit ribosomal RNA", at positions 338 to 795 of the family's 1533-position model. The record is from RNAcentral.
CCUACGGGGGGCAGCAGUGAGGAAUAUUGGUCAAUGGGCGAGAGCCUGAACCAGCCAAGUCGCGUGAAGGAUGACUGCUCUAUGGGUUGUAAACUUCUUUUAUAUGGGAAUAAAACGAGGAACGUGUUCCUUUUUGUAUGUACCAUAUGAAUAAGGAUCGGCUAACUCCGUGCCAGCAGCCGCGGUAAUACGGAGGAUCCGAGCGUUAUCCGGAUUUAUUGGGUUUAAAGGGUGCGUAGGUGGUUUGUUAAGUCAGUUGUGAAAGUUUGUGGCUCAACCGUAAAAUUGCCAUUGAUACUGGUAGUCUUGAGUACAGUUGAGGUAGGCGGAAUUCGUGGUGUAGCGGUGAAAUGCAUAGAUAUCACGAAGAACCCCGAUUGCGAAGGCAGCUUACUAAACUGUAACUGACACUGAAGCUCGAAAGUGUGGGGAUCAAACAGGAUUAGAUACCCCUGUAGUC